AGCGAACGCUGGCGGCGUGCUUAACACAUGCAAGUCGAGUGCGUAGCCCUUUGUAGCAAUACAGAGGGUGGGCGCACGGCGCACGGGUGAGUAACACGUGGGUAACCCUGCCCCUUCGGUGGGGAAUAACCCCGCGAAAGCGGGGCUAAUUCCGCAUAACAUUCCGGGGACACAUGUUCUCGGACUCAAAGGAGUGAUUCGCCGGAGGAGGGGCCCGCGCCCGAUUAGCUUGUUGGUAGGGUAACGGCCACCAAGGCUUUGAUCGGUAGCCGGUCUGAGAGGAUGGCCGGCCACACUGGAACUGAGACACGGUCCAGACUCCUACGGGAGGCAGCAGUGGGGAAUCUUGCGCAAUGGGCGAAAGCCUGACGCAGCGACGCCGCGU
Molecule: ribosomal RNA, 385 nt
Filed under: uncultured bacterium
Lineage: Bacteria
Description: bacterial SSU rRNA
Rfam family: Bacterial small subunit ribosomal RNA
Source: RNAcentral